Punica granatum (pomegranate) is the source of this 1832-nucleotide non-coding RNA. The record is from RefSeq and is a predicted model, not a curated record. NCBI's taxonomy places the organism in Eukaryota, Viridiplantae, Streptophyta, Magnoliopsida, Myrtales, Lythraceae.
CUUCCUUUUUCCUUCAUCUUCUGUUCUCCUCUCUCCUCUACAUCUCCAUUGUUUAUUCUCUCCUCCAGUCUUCUCUCUCUCUCUCUCUAGAAAAUUCGGACGCCAUCUCGCCGGCUCCGUGGAAAUCGACCGCCAUUUCCAUCGUGUCUUCCAUCAUCCUCCUCUCCGUACCUAGUCUGUUCUAUCUCGCCUCCCUUGAUGGAAAAUUCGAACACCAUCUUGUCGGUCUCCAUGGAAAUCGGAAGCAGAAAGGCAGCAAGGAAGUGUAGUUGGGUCUGUUCUGGCUACGAGGGCUAAUUUAAUUGGUUAAUUGACAUUGUUCAAAAGAGAAGAAAUGCAGCCAAGGAGAAGAAGAUGAAGAAAUCUGGUCUUUUAGGGGAAGUGAAUAAGUAGCAGAGCUUGCAGGAAGAGGGAAGUUCUUCAAUUUUGCAACGUGUUUCUUUUUUUUUUUUUGGGUUAAUGAAAAUCAAAAUUUCUGCAAAUUAGAGAUAUGAAAUUACGUUAUCUCCCUCUUAUUUUGUUGAUUUUGUUCUUGAUUCUUCCCUUUCUUAGCUAUUCUAAUUUGUCUGAGGUUUUUUUCCCAGGUUAACGCAGUCCUCAAAGUGAAGACCAAAAUUGAGCAAAAGACUCAACUCCAAGCGUUAUUGUACGAGAAGCGAAUAAGGACUUGGAAUUACUAGUCAGUCAGAUUUUUAAUAGCGAGGAAGAGGCUUACAAUGCAUACAAUUUGUAUGCCUUCAAUAAGGGAUUCAGCAUUCGCAAAGGUAAGAAAUACUACAAUCGCACCGGUGAACUGCGAACUUGCAUUUUUUUGUGUAGCUGUCAAGGGUUUGGACCUGAGGAUUCUUUUGAGCAAGAUCGAAAAUAUGAAAGGACUAUAAAGAGAUGUGGAUGUGGAGCUUACGUGAAAUUCAAAAUUGAGAAUGGAAUAUGGGAAUUGAUUGAGAAUUUCUGUACACAUAAUCACCCAUUUAUUAAUGAUAGUCAAAAAAAUCUAAUGAGAUCGUGUAGGAAGAUAACUGAAACAAGUCAAAGUGUUCUUAGUUCUAUGGCACAAGCGGGUAUUAGAGCUACAAGGGCAUUUUCCUACCUUAAGAAUGAGUCUGGAGGGUCUAAGAACAUUAGUUUCACCUUAAGAGACUGUCAUAAUUUCUUACAAUAAAAAAGAAGAGAGGCAUUUAGUGCAGGAGAUUGUCAAAAUGUCAUGGACCAUUUCAUUAGCUUACAGAAUCAAGGAAAUAAUGUUUAUUACUCAUUGCAAGUGGAUGAUGAGUCUAGAAUAACAAAGCCUUUUCUUUUUAUGUUUUUGCUUUACAUAUGAUCAACUUAUUGUACUCGACUAACCUUUUAAAUAUUUAGAUUAUUCAGCGAAUCACAAUAAUCCCUUGACUCUAGAGCUGCCGAUAAAUGCAACCAUUUCUAUGGAUCCUAUGAGGUCAAGAUACUUGAAUAAGAACAUGCAGUAUAACACCACUGUAAUGCAUGGAAAUAGCCCCCUCGGUAUGAAUUCCGGAAGUCAGGUCUUAGAUGAUAGUAGCAGAGUCCAUCAUUUGAUCACAAUUCCAGAUUUAAAUGAAGACCUCUCUAUCUAAUUAGGCGAUAAUGCAAGGAUGGGCGAGCAAGGAUUCUCUCAUAGUAUAAGGAGAUAAUUGUUUAGAUUUAUAUAUUUCAGGAGAUGGUACUUGGAUGAUAUUUUUUAGGGCAAUAACACCAGUUCUGAAAUUAGUUCUUCCAGACCUUAUUCGAAUCCAAUUAUGUUAUUGAAGGUCAUGGAUAUGUAAUUCGAUCAUAAAAUUUUUCUUUUUAUUUUCUAUAUUAUUACUUAAUAACUA